Molecule: ribosomal RNA, 646 nt
Filed under: uncultured bacterium
Lineage: Bacteria
Description: bacterial SSU rRNA
Rfam family: Bacterial small subunit ribosomal RNA
Source: RNAcentral
UCUGGCGGCGAGUGGCGAACGGGUGAGUAAUGUAUCGGAACGUGCCCAGUAGCGGGGGAUAACUACUCGAAAGAGUAGCUAAUACCGCAUACGCCCUACGGGGGAAAGGGGGGGAUCUUAGGACCUCUCACUAUUGGAGCGGCCGAUAUCGGAUUAGCUAGUUGGUGGGGUAAAGGCCUACCAAGGCUGCGAUCCGUAGCUGGUUUGAGAGGACGACCAGCCACACUGGGACUGAGACACGGCCCAGACUCCUACGGGAGGCAGCAGUGGGGAAUUUUGGACAAUGGGGGCAACCCUGAUCCAGCCAUCCCGCGUGUGCGAUGAAGGCCUUCGGGUUGUAAAGCACUUUUGGGAUGAACAAGACCCGGUGAAUACAUUCCCUGGUCUUGGAAACACCGCUGCAGAAUAAGCACCGGCUAACUACGUGCCAGCAGCCGCGGUAAUACGUAGGGUGCAAGCGUUAAUCGGAAUUACUGGGCGUAAAGCGUGCGCAGGCGGUUCGGAAAGAAAGAUGUGAAAUCCCAGGGCUUAACCUUGGAACUGCAUUUUUAACUGUCGAGCUAGAGUGCGUCAGAGGGGGGUGGAAUUCCGCGUGUAGCAGUGAAAUGCGUAGAUAUGCGGAGGAACACCGAUGGCGAAGGCAGCC